RNAcentral lists this transfer RNA (72 nucleotides) under Myotis brandtii (Brandt's bat). It matches the Rfam family "tRNA". Rfam says of the family: Transfer RNA (tRNA) molecules are approximately 80 nucleotides in length. Their secondary structure includes four short double-helical elements and three loops (D, anti-codon, and T loops). Further hydrogen bonds mediate the characteristic L-shaped molecular structure. tRNAs have two regions of fundamental functional importance: the anti-codon, which is responsible for specific mRNA codon recognition, and the 3' end, to which the tRNAs corresponding amino acid is attached (by aminoacyl-tRNA synthetases). tRNAs cope with the degeneracy of the genetic code in two manners: having more than one tRNA (with a specific anti-codon) for a particular amino acid; and 'wobble' base-pairing, i.e. permitting non-standard base-pairing at the 3rd anti-codon position. The record is from Rfam by way of RNAcentral. Lineage: Eukaryota; Metazoa; Chordata; Mammalia; Chiroptera; Vespertilionidae.
GCUGGUUUGGCUCAGUGGAUAGAGCAUCAGCCUGUGGACUGAAGGGUCCUGGGUUUAAUUCCCAAGUCAGGA